AUUGAACGCUGGCGGCAUGCCUUACACAUGCAAGUCGAACGGCAGCACGGGAGCAAUCCUGGUGGCGAGUGGCGAACGGGUGAGUAAUAUAUCGGAACGUGUCCAGUUGUGGGGGAUAGCCCGGCGAAAGCCGGAUUAAUACCGCAUACGACCUACGGGUGAAAGCGGGGGAUCGCAAGACCUCGCGCUAUUGGAGCGGCCGAUGUCAGAUUAGCUUGUUGGUGGGGAAAAGCCUACCAAGGCGACGAUCUGUAGCUGGUCUGAGAGGACGACCAGCCACACUGGGACUGAGACACGGCCCAGACUCCUACGGGAGGCAGCAGUGGGGAAUUUUGGACAAUGGCGCAAGCCUGAUCCAGCCAUGCCGCGUGCGGGAAGAAGG
Molecule: ribosomal RNA, 382 nt
Filed under: uncultured bacterium
Lineage: Bacteria
Description: bacterial SSU rRNA
Rfam family: Bacterial small subunit ribosomal RNA
Source: RNAcentral